UACAGAGACUGCAAGCGUUAUUCGGAUUCACUGGGCGUAAAGGGUGCGCAGGCGGCCAAGUGUGUUAGGCGUGAAAGCCUGAGGCUUAACCUCAGAAUUGCACCUAAAACUACAUGGCUAGAGCAUUGGAGAGGGUAGCGGAAUUCACGGUGUAGCAGUGAAAUGCGUAGAUAUCUGGAGGAACACCGGUGGCGAAGGCGGCAUCCUGGACCGAUACUGACGCUGAGGAGCGAAAGCCAGGGGAGCAAACGGG
RNAcentral lists this ribosomal RNA (253 nucleotides) under uncultured bacterium. RNAcentral describes it as "partial 16S ribosomal RNA". It matches the Rfam family "Bacterial small subunit ribosomal RNA", at positions 524 to 776 of the family's 1533-position model. The record is from RNAcentral.